AUCGCUUCUCGGCCUUUUGGCUAAGAUCAAGUGUAGUAUCUAAGUGUUGUUGACAGAAUGUGGAGAAGCUGGAAUCUUGAUGCACUCUUG
Bos taurus (domestic cattle) is the source of this 90-nucleotide small nuclear RNA. Its record names the gene U2. It matches the Rfam family "U2 spliceosomal RNA". From Rfam's summary of the family: U2 is a small nuclear RNA (snRNA) component of the spliceosome (involved in pre-mRNA splicing). NCBI's taxonomy places the organism in Eukaryota, Metazoa, Chordata, Mammalia, Artiodactyla, Bovidae. The record is from Ensembl.